Molecule: ribosomal RNA, 638 nt
Filed under: Escherichia coli
Lineage: Bacteria; Pseudomonadati; Pseudomonadota; Gammaproteobacteria; Enterobacterales; Enterobacteriaceae
Also listed under: 2 other names
Description: bacterial SSU rRNA
Rfam family: Bacterial small subunit ribosomal RNA
Source: RNAcentral
UUAAAACUCAAAUGAAUUGACGGGGGCCCGCACAAGCGGUGGAGCAUGUGGUUUAAUUCGAUGCAACGCGAAGAACCUUACCUGGUCUUGACAUCCACGGAAGUUUUCAGAGAUGAGAAUGUGCCUUCGGGAACCGUGAGACAGGUGCUGCAUGGCUGUCGUCAGCUCGUGUUGUGAAAUGUUGGGUUAAGUCCCGCAACGAGCGCAACCCUUAUCCUUUGUUGCCAGCGGUCCGGCCGGGAACUCAAAGGAGACUGCCAGUGAUAAACUGGAGGAAGGUGGGGAUGACGUCAAGUCAUCAUGGCCCUUACGACCAGGGCUACACACGUGCUACAAUGGCGCAUACAAAGAGAAGCGACCUCGCGAGAGCAAGCGGACCUCAUAAAGUGCGUCGUAGUCCGGAUUGGAGUCUGCAACUCGACUCCAUGAAGUCGGAAUCGCUAGUAAUCGUGGAUCAGAAUGCCACGGUGAAUACGUUCCCGGGCCUUGUACACACCGCCCGUCACACCAUGGGAGUGGGUUGCAAAAGAAGUAGGUAGCUUAACCUUCGGGAGGGCGCUUACCACUUUGUGAUUCAUGACUGGGGUGAAGUCGUAACAAGGUAACCGUAGGGGAACCUGCGGUUGGAUCACCUCCUU